This 588-nucleotide long non-coding RNA is filed under the name Rhinolophus ferrumequinum (greater horseshoe bat). Its description in RNAcentral is "lncRNA (ENSRFEG00010005904.1)". The record is from RNAcentral. Lineage: Eukaryota; Metazoa; Chordata; Mammalia; Chiroptera; Rhinolophidae.
UGCAGCUUGUCACAGGCUCUCCACACCCACCAGUUUCAUUGCAUUGCGCAGAACUCCAGCCAUCUUUCUCAUCUGUCGGGCAUUUUCUGAGAAAGAGGGGAACUCUGCAUCUCCCUCCUCCUCCCUUUGCCCUGGCAAAGAGGUGCCAGGUGCCUGAGGCCUGAACAGCCCUGAGCCAGGGAGUGGAACGUUCUGUCCUCUCUUGCUUAGAGGGCUUUCUCAGUGUCCCCAGUCAUCAGGCCGUGCCUCCUGACGCUGGCCUUUUUACUACAGGCACCUGCAGCACCUGCAGCAGAGUCCUUGGAAUUUGAGAAGGAACCCACAGCAGGAGGAGAGCCACUGGAGACCUGGAGACGGCAUGCAGAGAACAGGGACUGGGCUGGCGAACCACCACUCAGCAGCUGCCAAGGCCAGCUCCAGCCCCAAACCCUGCCAACUUGGGCAGCCGGCCUGGGAGCAGGCCUGAGCAGCCCGUCCCAGCCUAGGUUUAGGCCAACCGCUGCUUGUUCUUGUGGAGAUGUGUGUGUUCUUGUCUGAGCAGUUACCCCCGCUGACCACCCCACCCCAGAGACCCCGAGCCCAGUCCCA